Chelonia mydas (Green sea turtle) is the source of this 4185-nucleotide long non-coding RNA. RefSeq lists it as uncharacterized. The record is from RefSeq and is a predicted model, not a curated record. The transcript is spliced from 2 exons. NCBI's taxonomy places the organism in Eukaryota, Metazoa, Chordata, Testudines, Cheloniidae.
UGCGCGACAGAAUCAGGCUGCAGAGGCGAGGGGCGGGGCCUGGAGGCGGGCAAGUGGGGUGAGCACGCAGCUCGCGUCGGGACGCUGUCAGGGCCGGCAGCGAGAGCCUGGGCUGGUGCCCCGGCACGCCUGUUGCUGCGGGUCACGCGGCUCCGUUCCUAUGGCAACUAUGUGGCAGGCACCCCUCAGCCACAUAGUUAUACUGACCUAACCCCCGGUGUAGACGGCGCUAGGUCAAAGGGCGUCCGGUGGACAUGGCUCCCCCUCUUGGGGACGUGGCGUACCUCCUGUGCCAUGGGAGAAGCUCUCCCAGCGCAGGUAGCAUCUUCACUCGUCCUCUUGUGGCGCAGCUCCCGCACUGUGAGUGUAGACAAGCCCUUAUACAGGUCGCGUGUGUCUGCAUUUCCUGUCCUUCGCCCAGGUGUUUGUGUUAACAGGGUGCUCGGAGAGGAAUGCAGCCUUCCAACUGCGCUUGUGAAUCUUAACAUGGAUUGCAGCACAUGACUGUUAGGGUGCAGGCCUUAAUCAAUUUCCAAUGUACCUUUUAUCAUGAAAUACAAAAAAGAGGUCGUACAAAAACAACAUGGCUAGGAAGGCAUUGAUUUAAAGAGCAUUGCCUCUUACGCCCCCUCCCCGUCUCUUUUGAAGCUCUUCUUCAGCACAGCUAGCUUCUGUAUUUUGAUUAGGAAACAGAAUUAAGAGCACUAGAAAAAGCUUUCCCUUCAGUUUUAAACAAUCUCCUCUUUAAAGAGCAGGGUAACGUACUAUGAAGUGUAAUUCUCAGCCCAUCCCAAGCCAUUAAAUUUCAAAGAGAGAUGACACCUGAUGUGGUUCCAGUGCACGUUUUGAGAGGUCUUGAUGACUGAUUACAGUAUGACUUUGAGUAAUCAGUUCCAAAGCGGUAUUAUAAUGUUAAAAUAAAUCUCAGCUAUUGCGAAGUAAUCUGUUUCCUUUACAGUUUCUACUCAAGCCUUAAAAAAGUGUUCUUAGGUAGUUUAGUAUCUGAAAAAUACAGAAUUUAAGUUGAUGAUGUUUAAAAACCUGUAUACAUUCUUGAUGAGGCAACCAAGGACCAGAACAAAAUGCUUUGUAAUUGAAAGAGAUUAAGUUGUGAAAAAGAAAUAUAUAUAAACACAAGACUAAUAGAGCUAACUGAGUAUCUAAAACUUCAUGAAAUGCAUAAACUUAAUACAAAGAAGCCUUAAAGAGUAUACUUAUUCAAAAGCAAGCUGGUCGCAAAAAGUCACAAAAUAUUUUAGCCUUAAUGCUAACAAAAUGGAAAGGCUAGUUUCUUAAAUGACAGAUGGAUAAGUGUUUGGUCUCAUGUUGUUUUCCCAUAGAAAUACCUUGUAUUUAUAAAUAACUAAUAACCCCUCUGACUUUAAAGGAUUCUAAUGUGCUUUAUGAAUAUGGGAAUGACAAAGAAAUGCAGCCCUGUCUCAGGUAGUAUCAGCUGCUGUCCAACUGCACACAGCAAUGCUCAACAGUAUCUUAGCAUAGGAAGUGAAGAAUAGUAUUGUAUCCACUUGAAAUGCUUGGGAACCCUAGAUAGGGGAACUCUAGAUAGGAUGGUUGAAAUUAUAUUAGAAUCCGAUUAACUGGAACCACCCAGUGGUUGGAGAGGCUUUCAUCUUGGUUAAGCAGAAUUGACAACAGCUGCACCUUUGGACUUCAGCAGUCAGACAGCAGUCAACAGCUGCACCUUUGGACUUCAGCAUUGGGCUAUACUUAUAUGGCUCUCAUCCCCAUUGAAUGAGUGUCUCACAAAGAUUAAUGAAUUUAUCCUCACAACAUCUCUGUUAGGAAAAAGUAUUAUUAUCCACAUGUUACAGAUAGGGAGCUUAGGUACAGAGAAAUUGAAUGACUUGCCCAUCAUAACACAGGAAGUGUAUUGUGGAACCAACAAUUGAAUUAAAAUCUUCCGAGUUCCAAUCCAGUGCCUUAAACAAGAGAUAGCCUUGUCCUGUUUAAGCAGCAAUGUCAGUGUUAACGGACUUAGUGCUUCCUAGAAUAUAUUCUAUAAUUGUACCCUAAUUGAAAUUUAGCUUGAAUGCUAAGCUAACACCUUUACUCUUGAGGAAAAAUGUCAUGGUAUUUUAUAUUUCCACGUAGCGUUAGGACCUCAGAGAAACCAAACCAAAAUACAGUGCUUCCAUUUCUCUCAAUGUUAGGUUAAUACACUCGUCAAAAUUUAGUGUAGAGUUAAUAGAAAAAAUGCUUAUAAUAUUUGUUUUCUUAGACCAUGUCUACACUAGAAACUUACCAGUUUAGCAAUAUCAGUUAAGGGUGUAAUGUGGUGGUUUUUUAUGACAUUUCUAUACAGGCAAAAGCCCUAGUGUAAAUGCAGUUAUACCGACAUAAAAGUGCCUUUGCUGGUAUAGCUUAUUUUGCUUACCGAACAAUAUAAACUAUAUCUGUGAAAGUACUUUUUUGCCAGCAUAAUCUAUGUGUACUCUAGCAGAGAUUUGCCAGUAUAGCAAUACCAGCAAAACCUUUAAGUGUAGACUAGGCCUUAGGUCUCACAUCAAAGUUUUAGCUGGGUUUGGACCAGCUUAGCUGAAGAUCUGUAACGACUGCUGUCCAACCUGGAAAAAUGUUAUAUGUAUAUAAACUUUGUAGCUGAAAGACUUGAUUUUUUAUUUACCAGCUGUUUUGGUCUGUAUAUUGAAUAAAAUAAAAAUCAUUUAGUUUCUUCACAAAAGUUCAGAGACUAUUUAGAAUCUUUUUACCUUUGUCUGUUAAGCAGUCAGUUCUUUUAGAUUCACUCAAGUCCGUCUAUCUAAAGUAUUUAUGUGGACCCCAUCUCCAUAGUAUCUGAGCACCUCACAAUGCCAAUGAGGUAGGGAAGUACUAUUAUCCCCAUUUUACAUGUUGGAGAACUGAGGCACAGGGAGAAUAAGUGACUUUCCCAGGGCCAUACAGGAAGUCUUAUAAAACUCCUAUAUAUUCUAUCCCCAUAUGAUUUUGGUAGUUAUUUCUGAUAUUCUAUACUAUUUUAACUCCAUACAUGCAAUUUUAUUCUGAUGUAGGUCACAUUCCUCUAAGAAAUUUGACCAUAAAAUGAAAAUGUAGAUUUAAGGUUUAUAUCUUUGGUGUACAUUUUUUAUAUCUAAUUUUGUUGUGCAUGUAAUUGGAUUACAUCAGAGAUAUUGUAGAACAUUAAAAGAACAGUUUAAAAAAUUUAUACUAACCGUUGCCAAAAUAGCACAUUUAUUAUUAGUCAUGGCAGGAUUCAGUUUAAAUCAUUAGUCAUCAUUGGUAAAUGUCUAUUUCACUGGGCACAUUGAAAUCGACGAAAAAAAUAUCCAUAGGUAAUAGUUAGCAAGCACAGCUUCCCAGGCUCCUUGCAGGAAUCCGGUAUCUCCAGCUUUGCAAGGAGUCCUCUGCAGCCCUGCUGUCGUGGCUGUGUAGGGAUCCCCCUGCAGCAUUGCUGCGAAAUGGUGAAAAUUUAUUUAAAAUUGGGGAGGGGCGGGAAGGUUAAAAAUAAAAUCCAUACUGACCAUUGAAUUUACCACCCAAAAAAAAAAAAAAAAUUUGAAUUCUGCCAAGCCUGUUUGAUAAUGUAUCAUACCCUGAUUACACCAUUGUUCGGUUUUGUGGUGGAAAAACCUUCAUCUUUAUUGGAAAUGUAAAAUUCACAUGGUACAAAAUCUCAUUAAAAUUGGAGGAACAUUCACUACUUAGUUUGCAUUUGUUUAUGAUAUUGCCUCACUGUUCAGAAAUACUAAGGGGUCUAACUCAGUCCUGAUGCAUGCAAUUUUGUAAGUGAUAGUAAGAGUUAUAUGCAUCAAAUAGAUUAUUGACUCGUAAAAUCUUCUCUGCAAUAAUUGAUUCCAGAGAGUGUUACUCAGUGAAUGUUUGCGCCAUAUAAAAUGAGACAUCCACAGAAAGGCUCUAGAUUUAGACACAUCCUAGGUGAAUACAUGGAGGACCAAUGAAAGGAUUACUGCUUACCAAACACUUCGUUAACAAAGGGAUGUGUAAUUAAAUAUACAAAAAGUAACAAGAUCCUUGCAUGCUUCAUGCUGAAUUUUGUGAUAAUUUGAAAUGUAAUUCAGGAAAUUUAAUUGCACUGUCAGUGUUUUGUGUCAAAUAGAAUGUUAUUAGAAAGUUUUCUACUCAUGUUUCAUGUAUACAGUAUUUAUGUUUGGAUAUAUUAAUAAAAGUCUACAACAUCUGAUGUAA